Molecule: non-coding RNA, 293 nt
Filed under: Ricinus communis (castor bean)
Lineage: Eukaryota; Viridiplantae; Streptophyta; Magnoliopsida; Malpighiales; Euphorbiaceae
Description: Eukaryotic small subunit ribosomal RNA
Rfam family: Eukaryotic small subunit ribosomal RNA
Source: Rfam by way of RNAcentral
UAAUCUUUGAAAUUUCAUCGUGAUGGGGAUAGAUCAUUUGCAAUUUGUUGGUCUUCAACGAGGAAUUCCUAGUAAGCGCGAGUCAUCAGCUCGCGUUGACUACGUCCCUGCCCCUUUUGUACACACCCGCCCGUCGCUCCUACCGAUUGAAUGGUCCGGUGAAGUGUUCGGAUCGCGGCGACGUGGGCGGUUCGCCGCCGGCGACGUCGCGAGAAGUCCACUGAACCUUAUCAUUUAGAGGAAGGAGAAGUCGUAACAAGGUUUCCGUAGGUGAACCUGCGGAAGGAUCAUUG